Daphnia pulicaria is the source of this 804-nucleotide long non-coding RNA. RefSeq lists it as uncharacterized. Lineage: Eukaryota; Metazoa; Arthropoda; Branchiopoda; Diplostraca; Daphniidae. The record is from RefSeq and is a predicted model, not a curated record. The transcript has 3 exons.
GCUUGCAGCAGGCUAUGGGUUGUGUGAAUCUUUCCCAUGCUGCUCGUGAAAAUCAUUAAUUUGUGGCCGUUGUUUUUAUUAUUACGAAUUCGCCGAUUUUUCUUUGUUGAUGUGGUAAACAAAUAUUUAAAGGCUGGUUCAAAAUUCAAAUGUGCAAUGCCUAUUACAGUAAGUGCUUCCUCGUGUAAGAAUUUUACGUCAGAGGGCAGAGGUGACAGCUAAACACAGCAGACGCCAUAAAGGCCAUAUAGCCAGCAGGAUUGCAGGAAUGAGGAAUGUUGAUUUUACAUUUCAAACCUUCUCAAAUCGUCCUAGGGUCGCUGUUAUUUCCUGUUCGUUCAUAAUUUUUAUCAGAUGCAAUUAAAAUAUUGCGUUGUGUUUAAUGCAUUUUCUUUUGUUAACCAACCACUCAUCGUGAAACUAAAUUAUGCAAUUGCACCUUGCUUAAUAACGUUAGUGCUGAAGAUUUUUCGAUUUUCUUUGAUCAUUUCAAAUGGUUUCAUGUGAGAAAAUGAAUAAGUUGCCAGGUUAACCGUUGGGAUCAGAUUACUCUCUAGGUCUCCAGUAGUCCAACUCAACGCCACAUUUAGUGGAACAGCAACUGUCUAUGUCAAUGUGAUCCAACAGUAUUAAGAGGUUUGGCUGGGUUCGAGGAAAUGAAAGGUGCAGAGGCUUGAGACGAAGGGGAGUUGUUGAUGAGAAGAUGAGAAGAGAUACAAAAGGAGAGUGCGGGUCAGGAAGGCGAGAGAAACCAGAAACGGUCGAGACAAGAUGAGGCAGACACAAGUUGUGGAAGGAGAAAAA